GGUUAAGCGACUAAGCGUACACGGUGGAUGCCCUGGCAGUCAGAGGCGAUGAAGGGCGUGCUAAUCUGCGAUAAGCGCCGGUAAGGUGAUAUGAACCGUUAUAACCGGCGAUACCCGAAUGGGGAAACCCAGUGUGAUUCGUCACACUAUCAUUAACUGAAUCCAUAGGUUAAUGAGGCGAACCGGGGGAACUGAAACAUCUAAGUACCCCGAGGAAAAGAAAUCAACCGAGAUUCCCCCAGUAGCGGCGAGCGAACGGGGAGGAGCCCAGAGCCUGAAUCAGCAUGUGUGUUAGUGGAAGCGUCUGGAAAGGCGCGCGAUACAGGGUGACAGCCCCGUACACAAAAGCGCAUGUGCUGUGAGCUCGAUGAGUAGGGCGGGACACGUGGUAUCCUGUCUGAAUAUGGGGGGACCAUCCUCCAAGGCUAAAUACUCCUGACUGACCGAUAGUGAACCAGUACCGUGAGGGAAAGGCGAAAAGAACCCCGGCGAGGGGAGUGAAAAAGAACCUGAAACCGUGUACGUACAAGCAGUGGGAGCACCCUUUGGGUGUGACUGCGUACCUUUUGUAUAAUGGGUCAGCGACUUAUAUUCUGUAGCAAGGUUAACCGAAUAGGGGAGCCGGAGGGAAACCGAGUCUUAACCGGGCGUUAAGUUGCAGGGUAUAGACCCGAAACCCGGUGAUCUAGCCAUGGGCAGGUUGAAGGUUGGGUAACACUAACUGGAGGACCGAACCGACUAAUGUUGAAAAAUUAGCGGAUGACCUGUGGCUGGGGGUGAAAGGCCAAUCAAACCGGGAGAUAGCUGGUUCUCCCCGAAAGCUAUUUAGGUAGCGCCUCGUGAAUUCAUCUCCGGGGGUAGAGCACUGUUUCGGCUAGGGGGCCAUCCCGGCUUACCAACCCGAUGCAAACUGCGAAUACCGGAGAAUGUUAUCACGGGAGACACACGGCGGGUGCUAACGUCCGUCGUGAAGAGGGAAACAACCCAGACCGCCAGCUAAGGUCCCAAAGUCAUGGUUAAGUGGGAAACGAUGUGGGAAGGCCCAGACAGCCAGGAUGUUGGCUUAGAAGCAGCCAUCAUUUAAAGAAAGCGUAAUAGCUCACUGGUCGAGUCGGCCUGCGCGGAAGAUGUAACGGGGCUAAACCAUGCACCGAAGCUGCGGCAGCGACACUGUGUGUUGUUGGGUAGGGGAGCGUUCUGUAAGCCUGUGAAGGUGUGUCGUGAGGCAUGCUGGAGGUAUCAGAAGUGCGAAUGCUGACAUAAGUAACGAUAAAGCGGGUGAAAAGCCCGCUCGCCGGAAGACCAAGGGUUCCUGUCCAACGUUAAUCGGGGCAGGGUGAGUCGACCCCUAAGGCGAGGCCGAAAGGCGUAGUCGAUGGGAAACGGGUUAAUAUUCCCGUACUUGGUGUUACUGCGAAGGGGGGACGGAGAAGGCUAUGUUGGCCGGGCGACGGUUGUCCCGGUUUAAGCGUGUAGGUGUGUGUUCCAGGUAAAUCCGGUUCACUUUAACACUGAGGCGUGACGACGAGGCACUACGGUGCUGAAGCAACAAAUGCCCUGCUUCCAGGAAAAGCCUCUAAGCAUCAGGUAACAUCAAAUCGUACCCCAAACCGACACAGGUGGUCAGGUAGAGAAUACCAAGGCGCUUGAGAGAACUCGGGUGAAGGAACUAGGCAAAAUGGUGCCGUAACUUCGGGAGAAGGCACGCUGACACGUAGGUGAAGUGAUUUACUCAUGGAGCUGAAGUCAGUCGAAGAUACCAGCUGGCUGCAACUGUUUAUUAAAAACACAGCACUGUGCAAACACGAAAGUGGACGUAUACGGUGUGACGCCUGCCCGGUGCCGGAAGGUUAAUUGAUGGGGUCAGCGCAAGCGAAGCUCCUGAUCGAAGCCCCGGUAAACGGCGGCCGUAACUAUAACGGUCCUAAGGUAGCGAAAUUCCUUGUCGGGUAAGUUCCGACCUGCACGAAUGGCGUAAUGAUGGCCAGGCUGUCUCCACCCGAGACUCAGUGAAAUUGAACUCGCUGUGAAGAUGCAGUGUACCCGCGGCAAGACGGAAAGACCCCGUGAACCUUUACUAUAGCUUGACACUGAACAUUGAGCCUUGAUGUGUAGGAUAGGUGGGAGGCUUUGAAGUGUGGACGCCAGUCUGCAUGGAGCCGACCUUGAAAUACCACCCUUUAAUGUUUGAUGUUCUAACGUGGACCCGUUACCCGGGUUGCGGACAGUGUCUGGUGGGUAGUUUGACUGGGGCGGUCUCCUCCUAAAGAGUAACGGAGGAGCACGAAGGUUGGCUAAUCCUGGUCGGACAUCAGGAGGUUAGUGCAAUGGCAUAAGCCAGCUUGACUGCGAGCGUGACGGCGCGAGCAGGUGCGAAAGCAGGUCAUAGUGAUCCGGUGGUUCUGAAUGGAAGGGCCAUCGCUCAACGGAUAAAAGGUACUCCGGGGAUAACAGGCUGAUACCGCCCAAGAGUUCAUAUCGACGGCGGUGUUUGGCACCUCGAUGUCGGCUCAUCACAUCCUGGGGCUGAAGUAGGUCCCAAGGGUAUGGCUGUUCGCCAUUUAAAGUGGUACGCGAGCUGGGUUUAGAACGUCGUGAGACAGUUCGGUCCCUAUCUGCCGUGGGCGCUGGAGAACUGAGGGGGGCUGCUCCUAGUACGAGAGGACCGGAGUGGACGCAUCACUGGUGUUCGGGUUGUCAUGCCAAUGGCACUGCCCGGUAGCUAAAUGCGGAAGAGAUAAGUGCUGAAAGCAUCUAAGCACGAAACUUGCCCCGAGAUGAGUUCUCCCUGAGACUUUAGGUCUCCUGAAGGAACGUUGAAGACGACGACGUUGAUAGGCCGGGUGUGUAAGCGCAGCGAUGCGUUGAGCUAACCGGUACUAAUGAACCGUGAGGCUUAACCUU
This 2904-nucleotide ribosomal RNA is filed under the name Salmonella enterica. Its description in RNAcentral is "23S ribosomal RNA". It matches the Rfam family "Bacterial large subunit ribosomal RNA". The record is from RNAcentral. RNAcentral also lists the same sequence under 2 other names. Lineage: Bacteria; Pseudomonadati; Pseudomonadota; Gammaproteobacteria; Enterobacterales; Enterobacteriaceae.